RNAcentral lists this ribosomal RNA (439 nucleotides) under uncultured bacterium. RNAcentral's name for it is "partial 16S ribosomal RNA". It matches the Rfam family "Bacterial small subunit ribosomal RNA", at positions 339 to 795 of the family's 1533-position model. The record is from RNAcentral.
CUACGGGAGGUUGCAGUGAGGAAUAUUGCACAAUGGGGGGAACCCUGAUGCAGCAACGCCGCGUGGAGGAUGACGCAUUUCGGUGUGUAAACUCCUUUUAUAUGUCAAGAAAAUGACGGUAGCAUAUGAAUAAGCACCGGCUAACUCCGUGCCAGCAGCCGCGGUAAUACGGAGGGUGCAAGCGUUACUCGGAAUCACUGGGCGUAAAGGACGCGUAGGCGGGUUGGAAAGUCAGGUGUGAAAUCCUACAGCUUAACUGUAGAACUGCACUUGAAACUUCUAAUCUAGAGUAUGGGAGGGGGAGAUGGAAUUAGUGGUGUAGGGGUAAUAUCCGUAGAUAUCACUAGGAAUACCUAAAGCGAAGGCGAUCUCCUGGAACAUUACUGACGCUAAGGCGUGAAAGCGUGGGGAGCAAACAGGAUUAGAUACCCCCGUAGUC